Molecule: long non-coding RNA, 221 nt
Organism: Nomia melanderi (Alkali bee)
Lineage: Eukaryota; Metazoa; Arthropoda; Insecta; Hymenoptera; Halictidae
Source: RefSeq, a predicted model, not a curated record
ACGGUUCAAAGAUGUAUAUAGAUUUUAGUAUAUAUAUAAGCUACCUCUACGAACUGUCACAUUUAGUUGUACGAGAGGACCCGAGACAUACGAUUCUAUUUUGCGAAGCCAAAUUGUGCUAACUAAAGUGUGCGCGCACUUCAUUAUAAUCAACGAUGAAUCGAAUCACGCAUAUAAUCGAUAUGGAUGGAUUUAUGGUUGGAGAUAAUUUCUUAUGUAAA